GAUGAAGAACGUAGUGAAAUGCGAUACGUAAUGUGAAUUCAGAAUUCAGUGAAUCAUCGAGUCUUUGAACGCACAUUGCGCCCCCUGGUAUUCCGGGGGGCAUGCCUGUCCGAGCGUCAUUGCUGCCCUCAAGCACGGCUUGUGUGUUGGGCCUCCGUCCUCCUCCCGGGGGACGGGCCCGAAAGGCAGCGACGGCACCGCGUCCGGUCCUCGAGCGUAUGGGGCUUCGUCACCCGCUCUUGUAGGCCCGGCCGGCGCUUGCCGACACAUCAAUCUUUUUUCCAGGUUGACCUCGGAUCAGGUAGGGAUACCCGCUGAACUUAAGCAUAUCAAUAAGCGGAGGA
Molecule: unclassified non-coding RNA, 344 nt
Filed under: soil metagenome
Description: partial contains 5.8S ribosomal RNA, internal transcribed spacer 2, and large subunit ribosomal RNA
Rfam family: 5.8S ribosomal RNA (bases 1-119)
Source: RNAcentral